CCCUAUGGGGCGGCUACAUGAUAACCCCUGUUACUGAUCUCCUAGCCGAGAUACUCGUCUUACCUCGAUCGUUCUCUCGCCUCAAGAAAUGUAAGCAGAUGUUGGAGGAAGCCGGCGAGAGUGGGGAUUACUACAAGAAACUGAUGGAGGACUUUCCCCUUGCGGAUUUCGAUUAUGAAACAGAACCCGUUUAUGCGCUUCUGGACUUUAGUAAGAAUCGGUCUGGCACAUCACGGCGGUGUCCCUUUGUCUGGCAAAAAGCCUACAACCGAUUUAUCCCAAUCGGGAGUGAGCAGAUCGAAUAUGACGGUGGGUCAGUGAAUAGUUGGCGAGAGCGAUGGAAUAUCGCUAAGCCCAAGCAACCAAUCAACAGGAAUAAAUGAAUGGGCGGGAGGGC
RNAcentral lists this ribosomal RNA (397 nucleotides) under uncultured prokaryote. Its description in RNAcentral is "partial 16S ribosomal RNA". The record is from RNAcentral.